RNAcentral lists this long non-coding RNA (387 nucleotides) under Rosa chinensis. RNAcentral's name for it is "sRNA RchiOBHm_Chr4g0419991". The record is from RNAcentral. Lineage: Eukaryota; Viridiplantae; Streptophyta; Magnoliopsida; Rosales; Rosaceae.
UUUAUAACCAUUUGUGAAUAACGGAUGCUUAUUCCGAGGGGAAUGAGUUGUUUUUGAGAGUAUCUCAUUAUAUGGUUAAUUAUAUCCUAUUUUAUUGUGACAGGACGUACUGAGCCCUCGAGCGAGGAGGACACAGACAGGCAGCAGGGUUAGCUGCGGGAUUCACUUAUUUCAGAUUAGCCGAGAUUGCGUCCAGGCUCAAGAACUUGGGAAUCAGCGCUUCCGUUUUUGUCCGUAGGUUAUUACUUAACCUACCUUGUAUGAUAUCGGCUUAGUUUAGUGUUGCUCUGAUAAACCUUUCUUUUAAGUUUGAUGGAUGUUGUUGUUUGGUUUGUUGUUACUUACGGAGGAUUAUAUUGGGAUUUGAACUUUCUGAAUAAGUUAUAG